AGUGAACGCUGGCGGUAGGCCUGACACAUGCAAGUCGAACGGCAGCACAGUAAGAGCUUGCUCUUACGGGUGGCGAGUGGCGGACGGGUGAGGAAUACAUCGGAAUCUACUUUUUCGUGGGGGAUAACGUAGGGAAACUUACGCUAAUACCGCAUACGACCUACGGGUGAAAGCAGGGGAUCUUCGGACCUUGCGCGAUUGAAUGAGCCGAUGUCGGAUUAGCUAGUUGGCGGGGUAAAGGCCCACCAAGGCGACGAUCCGUAGCUGGUCUGAGAGGAUGAUCAGCCACACUGGAACUGAGACACGGUCCAGACUCCUACGGGAGGCAGCAGUGGGGAAUAUUGGACAAUGGGGGCAAGCCUGAUCCAGCCAUACCGCGUGGGUGAAGAAGGCCUUCGGGUUGUAAAGCCCUUUUGUUGGGAAAGAAAAGCAGCAGGUUAAUACCCCGCUGUUCUGACGGUACCCAAAGAAUAAGCACCGGCUAACUUCGUG
RNAcentral lists this ribosomal RNA (492 nucleotides) under uncultured bacterium. RNAcentral describes it as "partial 16S ribosomal RNA". It matches the Rfam family "Bacterial small subunit ribosomal RNA", at positions 29 to 507 of the family's 1533-position model. The record is from RNAcentral.